GCCCUUAUAGCUUAGGGGUAGAGCGUUGCACUUGUAUUAACGUGCGAGGCAUGCAAAGGUCGGCGGUUCAAAUCCGCCUGGGGGCA
This 86-nucleotide transfer RNA is filed under the name Neonectria ditissima. It matches the Rfam family "tRNA". From Rfam's summary of the family: Transfer RNA (tRNA) molecules are approximately 80 nucleotides in length. Their secondary structure includes four short double-helical elements and three loops (D, anti-codon, and T loops). The record is from Rfam by way of RNAcentral. Lineage: Eukaryota; Fungi; Ascomycota; Sordariomycetes; Hypocreales; Nectriaceae.